CCUAAUAGGAAUCCCAGGAGAAGGACUCCAAAUGCACCCAGGACGAAUCCAAGGACGGUAAGUGAACUAAAACCUUUUACCCCUCUGGCAGAUUCGUGCUCCUCACUGCUUAAAAGUCUCAGCAUUUUCUGUUCUUCAGUGAAAUGUGUUUAUACAGGGAGGCCUUGACCAGGGUGUGAGGAUCCCACUGCAUGCCUGAAUACUAGAGAUUUCAAAAAU
Non-coding RNA from Pelobates cultripes (western spadefoot toad), 219 nucleotides. NCBI's taxonomy places the organism in Eukaryota, Metazoa, Chordata, Amphibia, Anura, Pelobatidae. The record is from the annotation of a GenBank genome assembly.